GAAGCGCGCGGGCGGGCCGACGAGGCAGUUCCGGUCGGCGCAGGCGGCCCCCUCCCGCUCGGAAGGUGAGUGGGCGCCGGUCCGCCGGGUCCGCCCUGCCCGCGACGUCCCGCGCGGUGACUGCGGCCGUCGCUGCACGCGGCCCCAAGGCGGCGCGGGGAGCAGCCCGGGUCGGGCGCGGGAGGAGGACGGGGCCAGCGCAGGCCACGCCCGCUGCCCGCGGCGCCCGCUGCCCGCUCCUGCAGAAGGCGCGUUGCUGCAGACCUCCCGCGCCGCAGUGUGGAAGAAAAACGCUCUCACGCUGGACGCGAGCCGUUCGUGCAAACCAAGUUAAGGAACAGUGUUUGGCCCCAGAUGAGUCUCGGGGUGUGGCGGGCAGGCCGGACUUGGGGGUUGCCCCCUGCGGCCUGCGACUCUGCAGGGCGGGAGGAAGAGCUUCCUGGGAUCUAAUCUAGCACCUCCGUGCCCCAGCAGGCAUGUUCAGCUUUUCACCCCCCCAGGGCCAGGAGCCCCCGGAUAUGGUACAGGAGGUUCCCCUGGAAGUGUCAGCAUGCUCUUAUGGUGGGUGAAGCCUCGGGUUGGAAGGACAUUCAGGAUCUUUUGCUGAAGAACUUGGGGUCAGUCACUGCAGGUCUGCUGAUGCUGUCCAGGUGACGUCCUAAUAGGAUUUCACAUUGAACAAAACCUCCCAGGUCCUUGAAUCGCCUCCUACCACAAGCUGGGCACCUCUCCACUUGCCCUUACCUCUUGGCAUCCUUGUGUUCCUGAAUGAGGAACACUGUGUCAUAUGGGGCUGCUUAGGACCUGGUGUGUUGUCCCCUCUCCCCACAGACUUCUCCACCACCCUCAUCUGCCUUGAUUUUCAUUUUCUUCAGGUCCCAGGUGCACACACCUUCAGGAAGUCUCUGGAAGAUGGCGGCUCUAGGAGCUGUUGAGGAAGUUCUUCCUGUCCCAUCUCCCAUCAGUCUGUCAUCAUCAGGGACACCUGGAGCCCGGCACCACACAGCACAGCUUCACCUCCACAGUCAUCCACACGGUACUCAUCUGGCCCACUGUGUUCCCUCUGCCCUACCUCCACACUAUGGAGCCCCCAUCUGACCCAGCAACCCAGCUGGCUGAGAGGCAGCAGCAGACAGUUGUGCAGCUUCUUGGAGGCAGGGGCCUGAGAGGCAGCGCUAGGUCAGGACUCAGCCGUGGGAGGAGACCAAACCCAUGUCUGGCUUCCUAGGAAAAAGCCCCUGGGACCAUGGGACCAUUUCUUCCCUGGUGUAGAAAGAGUAGCCUCAGAAUCUGGGUCUGGUGUGAGCAGGAGUGAGCCAGCACCCCCAGCCCUGUCUGAAGCUGUGUUCCCAAGCAGGAGAAGAGAGCCCAGAGUUGUUGCUAGGCUGCUUUGGGUAUGGAACCUGUGGGACCUGCAGGGAUGGAGCCAUUGGCCUUGGUUUUACCCACAGUGUGUGUCUUUACUGGUCACAAGUAAGGAGCAGGCAGGGUGCACUGUGCCCCUGGCACACCUGGCUCUUGGGUCAUGGUGUCCUGAGGCUUCCUCUCUGUGUUGGAUAGCCAGGCUCAGUGCUCCUAAGAGCCUGAGCCAUUGACAGCAAAGACAAGGUCCCUCGUAAGGUAUGUCCUGGCAGCCUGCACCUAUGUUUAGAAGCUGGUGAAAGGUCCAGGAAAACAGCCUUCCUGGUGCCCAAGGUUCUCAGUCUUGGCUGUUCUUGUUAGUCUGUCUACUGGCAUAGUGACGCUGAGGCUUGUGGAGCAUGACUGCUGUACCAGGUCUAGGAUGAGCUUUUCAAAGCCCAGCCACAGCCUUUCACAUGCACACUCACAGAUAAGGACAGAGAGGACACCAAUAGCCAGGAAAUCACAUGGUGCAGCACAGGCCAAAAUGGGAGUUGUGAGCUCUGCGUCUGCUGCCUGACGGCAGGACCUUUUGCCCCUGCCCAUCCCCAGGAUAUUGCUGGGAAAGUACUUCUUUGGAGCACCUUGCAGUGGUUCCUGUGAACUAGGUGGAAUGUCUGGAAGGACCUCAGACUUAUUCUGUGCCGAGCCUUGUGGGGCCACCCCUACCACCAUCUCUUUCUCCUCUCCGGUGGUUUCUGGACCUUCAAGGGCCCCUGGCCUGUGCCCAGGGCCUGCGUCUCAGAGCCCAGAGCUGAGCCCCUUUGCCAUCUGGUUUCUCAGGAGUGCUCCAAGGCCCACAGAUCCCUGACAGACCCCAGUGUUUCCAGAACCUGCCCAGGGUUCCCCUGCCAGUUAGAAUUCGAGCCAGAACUUCUUAGAGCCAAUCCUUCCAGCUUCCAAGUCAGAGUCUGAGAUGAGCCAGAGGAAGCCCACCCAGGAGCCCUGAGUCCCAGUGAUCGUCAGAAGCCCACCCCAUACCCAGUCACUCCUAGAGACUCUCUGGCUGGGCUCAUACUGGGCACUUGGUGUCCUUGCAAGAGGAGCUGGCUCCUUCCUCCUCAGAGGAAAUGAAGGAUGCAGGGGGUUCAUUAAGCAGGGUGCUCAGCUGUCCCUGUGGGCAGCAGGCUGAGAUCCUGUGUCCGAAGCUGAGACCACCUCCUGGCUGGUCCCAGCCUCUUAGAGCAGGCUAGGAAGCAGGUGUAGGACAUAGUUGUUCUUCUCCCAGGACCUCUGUGUUCCUACAUAGACACAGGUCAGGGGCCAUGGCCAGUUUUGGGGUGCUGAGGGUCUGACACAGCUCCUCAGGGUCUGUGUUGUAUCAAUAUAGGGGCAGUGGAGGGCAGUGGGGCCUUCUGAUGGGGGCAUGGGAAGGAGGCCAGGCCAGAGACUGCCCAGCUUUUGUCUGCUUACAGAGCAAGGGAGGGUAAGUCCCAAAGCCAGGUUCUCAGGAGGGCUUCCUGGGGCAGCUCUUGACCAAGCCGGGGAGGAGGAGAAAGGGUACUCCUGGCUGGGGAGGCUCCUGGCAGUGGCACGGAGUCAAGCUGCCCUGCUCUUCUAGAGGUGCUGGGGAGGUGUAUCCGUGGCAGUGGAGGAGGUGGUGCUGUGUGUUAAGGGCUUGGCCCAGGAGCACGUGGCAUCCUGUAGGUGCCCUGGGCAAGUGGGGCUGAUUCCAGGGGAGGCAGCACUCUGGAGGGUGGGGCCUGAGCCAUAGCCCCCAACCCCUAGGCUCUCCCAGCUCCAACCCUGAGGUGCUCUCCCAGCCAUCAGAACUGGAUCUCCAAGACCUAGAGGAAGUGGAGAUCGGCAGAGACACCUGGCUUGGUGAGUGAGGACCACUGCCCACCCUACCCCGGCACACUGAGCACGUUUCCCAUUGCCCUGGAGCUCCUGAGCACCAGGCUCUGGGUAUUCCCACUGCUGUGGCUGGCGGCUGCUAUCUGAGGUUGGGCAGCUGCUUCCAGGGAGUUGGGCUACAGUACAGUUGUCACUGAGGCCACCGCCACCCCAUGGAGCUCUCUGAGCAGGUAUGAGCUCAUUGGAUCUUACCCGUCUGGCAUGGCAGGCUUCAAGAGAGGCUUGUUUCUUGUCCCUCAGUACUUGAGCCCAAAGGAUCAAAGUUCCAGAUCCUUGCCAGUCCUUAAUGUCAACCCUUGGGCCACCUCCUCCCAGCUCAGAGUAGACAUGCAGGUCUCGUUAACCACUGUGUCCUCGUAGACAGCCAAGGCCCCGUACACAUGCUCAGGUCACCAUCUGACAGAGCCCAGCUGCCCCCCACCGUAUGUUUCAUCUCAGCUGUUUGGGGCAGAACACCUUGGCCACUGUUCGGGGCCUCCUUCCACCUCACCAGUCCCAAGUCAGGCUUACCCCCCCAGGUUCUGCUCUUACUUGGUCCCAGUCCCUAGAAUGCCGCAGUGGGGCUGGAGCUGGGUACCAUCUGUCUGCCGUCUCUCCUUUCAGACUCAGAGGCAGAGCCUGGGCAGGCUCCAUCAUCUCCCCACCAGCAUGUUUCUGAAGACAGGGUGGACCCAGAGGGAGGGGCUCUGAGGGGCCUCCUGAGGAACUCUCCCCACAGGCCCAAGUGUGGGGAGAGCUUUGGGCAGGAGUCCAGCCUGGAGCGGCCAGCAGACCAGCCUCCAGGGCCCAUGCCCUGCACCCUGAGGAGGAGUGCCUGGUGCCUGGCACUCCUGUCGCAGGGAGCUUCAGAGACCGAGGGCAGCCCUGAACAGGCUCCAGAGCUGGGGUGCAGCUUGGGUCCCAGGCCACCACAGGCCAGUGCACGCGGCACCAAGCCGCACCGCUGCGAAGCCUGUGGCAAGAGCUUCAAGUACAACUCGCUGCUGCUGAAGCACCAGCGCAUCCACACAGGUGAGAAGCCCUAUGCCUGCCACGAGUGCGGCAAGCGCUUCCGUGGCUGGUCGGGCUUCAUCCAGCACCACCGCAUCCACACCGGGGAGAAGCCCUACGAGUGUGGCCAGUGCGGCCGCGCCUUCAGCCACAGCUCACACUUUACGCAGCACUUGCGCAUCCACAACGGCGAAAAGCCCUACAAGUGCCGCGAGUGUGGCCAGGCCUUCAGCCAGAGCUCCAACCUGGUGCGCCACCAGCGGCUGCACACGGGCGAGAGGCCCUACGCCUGCAGCCAGUGUGGCAAGGCCUUCAUCUGGAGCUCCGUGCUCAUUGAGCACCAGCGCAUCCACACGGGCGAGAAGCCCUACGAGUGCGCCGACUGCGGCAAGGCCUUCCGCGGCCGCUCGCACUUCUUCAGGCACCUACGGACUCACACCGGCGAGAAGCCUUUCGCGUGUGGUGCCUGCGGCAAGGCAUUCGGCCAGAGCUCCCAGCUCAUCCAGCACCAGAGGGUGCACUACCGCGAGUAGCCACAGCCUGGCCUGCAGUAAAUCCUGUGUGUGGAAACAGGAGCUGGCUUCUGCUGGGCGAGGUGGGCUGCUUCCCGACCUGAGGGCCACCAAGGGGGAGGGCCUGAGGCCAGGAGCCGGCCUGACCCUUCCAGAGCCUUGCCAUGGAGCCGUCAGACCUGCCCAGCACCGGAUGGGGACCAGUGGCAGCACCUGGAGCAGGCGGGGCGGACGGGGGGCUGCCUUCCAGGCUCCUGCGUUCCUCCAGCAGCCUGUGGCCUGGCCCAGGCUUCCUGUCGACCCUGGGCACAGGGUCUGCGGCAGCUGGGUCUCCUCAUGGCAGGUCUCCCCGCACAGCCCUCAGGCCUGUCCGUUGUCUCCUCCUUGCUCUUCCAUUUAGGGCUUGCAAGGUCAGCAGGCUUCCAUGAGAGGACCUCCCCGACCUGUGUUCUCCCUACCUGCCUCCCAUGCUGCUCCUGCUCUGACAAGGUGGGGACCUUGAGUUGUUGGGGCUGGACAGGUGUGCAGAGGGGUCAGGAUUUUGUCCUCUGAAGAUCUUCCCAGAGAGUCCUGUGGAGGGAAGGGCAGAGCCCGGUGCAGAGGGCAGGCUCCAAGCAGCCAGGGUUCCGGGCACCUUUCCUGCCCAGCUGUUCCCUCCAGAGCAGCUGAGGGACAGCAGACUCCUCCCAAGACUGCAGUGCCCAAGUGUGACCUCCCUGGCCCUCCCCACUGCUGGGCUUGCCCAGGGUUCCUGCUGGCAGGUCCCCGUGGUGGCUGGGAGGCACUACCCUGCUGCACUGGUGGUGUGCUUUGUGGCUGUCAUCAGCCCUUGGCCAGCCUGCUUCCCAGGGGACACGGAAGUUAUGAGGUGACGCAUGGCUUCCUGCAUGUCACAAGCAGUGACCCAUCUCAAGUCUCCUGAUGGGUCACACAGCCCUCUGCAGCCCCUUGAGGAAGGCACCUGUGGCCACCAAGUGCUGUUUGCCCCCACCCUGUGUCCCCAUGCCAACUGAGAGCCAAUCUAGAGGUGAGAGCUAGAGGUUAGGCUGUUGCCUGCCUCCCCCGCCCCUCAGGGAUACGUGGGCAGCGCGAGACUCUGCAGGCAGCCCAGCAGCCUCAUCACCAAGGACGGGCUCCAUUGGCAGUAAUGGAACCCAGCAGCAUCUAGGGAAGGUCCUAUGGUGCUCCAGGGGUCCCAGCCUCCUGGAAGUGGCCUUCAGGCACCUUGUGGGGCAGGGCCAGGUGCCCCAGAACUAGCUGUGGGUGCUAGUGGCUGGCAGGGCAGCUCUUCUGUGCUGGGUCUAAACCUUUGCUGAGGCAAAGUCACCGUUGUCCCUUGCUGGGCAGGACCACCAAGAUGAGCUGAAGUGGAAUUUGCAUCUCCCGUGGUACCCUUUUUCCUCCAAUCCCUGGCAGUCAGCAGAUUCCCAGAUGUUCCACCUGAUCUCCACCCAAUGUUUCCAGGAAAUUCAGUGUUAGGGGUCAGGCAUGGCUCCUCAGGACCGUUCUACUUACCCUUGCCCAUCCCCAUCAGCAUUCACUUGAUUAGAGCACUUAUCUCCUGUGCCCCAGAGGAACCUGGGCACCAUCUCCCCUCAGUUAUUCCUGCCUUGCAGGAGGUAUCUUGUCUGGGCCAGCCUGUGAAGGGCUCCUGCAGUGGCUGUUUCCAAACUCCAGAAGUGACCAUUUCUGUGAGCACAGCGUCUGCAUUUGGUCCCAGAGAAAGGGGCCCUAGAGGGACACUUGAGCCAUCAGGUCCUGGAGCUGCCAGAAAGGAUUUUGUGAGGCAGUUUCCAGGGAUUGCAGGCAAGGGGAGGGAGGGCUGUGAGCUGAUGAAUCCUAGAUGGAACCACUUGGUUUUAGAGUAUGAGGAUCUGCCCCAGGUGCCGUGAGACAAGAGGCAGAUAUAUCCAGGGUCACGCUGCGUUUUAUUGUGGAACUUACUGACAAAGGCAAAGUUGUGAUAAGAUCCAUUGCAUUCUCAAAGUUUGGAUCAGAAAGGGACAUAUAUAUGAAUCAGGACCAAAGUAACCUCAUCCUGGCUGAAUUGUACCUGGUUUAUCUUAAUAUGGAAGAGUUGGGUACAUCCCUGGAGUCGGGGUCUAACCUUGUGCAUUGUUUGCUAGUUGGUGAGUGCAAAACCACUAAGCACCACCAGGAGGAAGAGUAGAAAGGCAUAUUACUUGAAGUCAGGAGAACACGAGAUAAUUCUCAAAGCAGUGUGCCCCCCCAAAACAAAGCAAUGGGCUUUUAUUGGGGAAAUGGGCAUAUUCCCCUAGGAGGCUCAUCACUUGUAGAGGUGGGCACACUGCUGGGAAUGCUCAGUUUGAGGUCACAGCAUAGCCUUUAAAAAAAAAAAAAAAAAAAAACCCCAGCUGGCGAUGCCUCUGGGCAGAGAAUUCAGUAUUACAAUGAGCAGAGUUCACUCCAGGUCACCUAGACUCCGUGGUCAGCAGCUUGCACUGGUUCCUUGUGAGUUGCUCUGGAGAGUUUGGUCUGGAACAAAACACCUCUGAUGGAGCAUUAAGUCACUUAAGGGGCGGCUUCUCCUUUCCUCCAGGAAGCCUAGGCGUUUGUCCCCAACUGUACCAGCCCAGUGCUAACAGUAUGAUUCUGUGGCUUGUCUAUCACAGUUUGCUGGGGAACUGUGCAGGAAAAACCAAUUAGGGUUACUCUGGGGCAAUUGUGGGGGUAGACUCAAGAUGGCUGUAGUCAAGCUGAAUCUACCCAGGCUGCACGUGGCUGUGGCAAAAAGGGUCAAUCCUGGGUUUGGAGACUGCUGUUGGACACAAGGGUUUGGUUUUUACAUAAACAUACCUGUAUGGUGCAAUGGAUAAGAAAAUCAACUGUGGAACUUAAAGGACAGCUGUACUCUUAUCUGUGUAAAAUGAGAUUAAUUUCUCUGAACCUGUUUCCUGGUUAGUAAUAUGAUGAAGUCGGGUUUUCAGUGUUUUGAGAGCCCUUGGGUAAGUUGGGACUUCAGUCGCAAAGCAGUUAGCAACCCUGCCCUUCAAGGGGAUAGAGGAGGCCAGAUCCUGGUGUUGACCAGGUGCCCCUCACGGGAUACUUCCUUCAUCUGGUAGGUAGCCUUGUGUUUAGCUGUGGACCUGUACCAAGGUUUCCUCACUUGGGAGCGUGUCUAUGCUGGCAGACACCUGAGUGGCUCUUGUCUGACCCAUUUUGUGGAAGGCAAUCCAUCUUUGCCCCCGCGGUUCCUUUCUAAGUACUCCGCUCCUGCAGCUGGUCCGACUGUGCCUAGCCUGGGUUCAUUGCUGGACGCUCGCGUUCCCACCCCAGUCCCGGCCAGCACCCCCUCUCUCCUGGACCACAGCCUCAACCCAGAGUUGGAUUCCCUUUUUCUUCCCACCUACAAGCACAAAGGCCUUGACGCCCCCCACUUCCCGCAAGCCCUUAUGGCCUGUAGGUCCCCUUGCUUGCCCCGUCUGUGCCCCACCGCCGCAUCCCCUAGCACCUCGGACAGCGCCGGGCGAGCAGCCGCGGUCCCCAGGCUGGACUUGGGAGCCAGCCUUCGGAAGUGCCUGCGGCGUGGGGCGGGGCCUGCUGGCCGCGCUUCCGUCUCAGCGGUGCGCGUGCCGCGCGCUGGAACUUGGGCCUCCGGGACCACGGAGCACCCCUCUGCCCCCGAGCCGGCCGGCCGUGCGUCCUCCGGGGCCCCUCUGGUCCCGGUCCGCCCCGCGCGCGGCGGCCAGCUGCAGCUGUGAGCGUGGGGUGUGUCCCCUGCAUCAAGCCAGGGACCCACUCCGCAGGCGCGCCUUGAACGAGGCCGGUACCGUCUGGCCAGCGACACCUGGUGGCCACCGUGAAAGGAGGGAGGCUGGAGGAGUCGUGGGGAAAGCUGCGCGGCGCGUUCCUCUCCGCGAAGGCGCGUCCUGGAAUGUCGGGACAGCGCUUUCUCAGUGCAGCCCACCGGGAUCGCCGAGCGUCUGCCCCUGUCGCCUUCUCCUGCACACCAGUCGGGGCGAAAGGGAUGCUCCUGCUGUUGCCGCCGGAAGAGACCCACCCUCCUGGACCUUGCCUGGACACGGUCUGUUGGCCAGGCAGCUAGCCGCUGCCUGCCUCCUGCGCAGUCCUGUGUCCCUUCGGAGCGCACCUGGGCUCUAAGCACAGCCCGGUGGGUGUCUUCUGAGACCCUCAGGACCUGUCCCAGGACCGGAAGUGUACAUCCCAGCCAAUGGGCUCUGGCACCGGCUCUAACCUUGUCUCCCGCCUCACCUGCCCAGGGAGACCGGCCAGACUCUCCGUCAGGCAGCCAGGAUCCCAGAACACCGUACUUACCUCUCCAGCCCCCUUCUUCGUCCCUCGGGCUCGAGCCCCAACCCUGCUGCCUCCCCUCACUCAGCCAGCAGCCUCCAUGGGCUCUGCCAACAGCCCACCCUUGCCUGCUGCCCUACUGGGUGGGUGGGAGGUACCCCGCCACACCGCAGAUCUCAGGGAGGAAAGUUGAAGUCGCAUCCUUAAAAAGCACGUUUUUAACAAAUUUCUUUUCCCCAAAGCAUUUGUUUGUGGUCUUUAAAGAAAUUUUAGAAAAUGUAAAAAGAAAGAAAAAGAAUAAUGGAAACCAGGAAA
This 9347-nucleotide long non-coding RNA is filed under the name Marmota monax (woodchuck). Lineage: Eukaryota; Metazoa; Chordata; Mammalia; Rodentia; Sciuridae. The record is from RNAcentral.